UACAGAGGUCUCAAGCGUUGUUCGGAUUUAUUGGGCGUAAAGGGUGCGCAGGCCGCAUGGUAAGUCUGGUGUGAAAUCCUGGGGCUUAGCCCCAGAAUUGCACUGGAUACUGCCGUGCUAGAGGACUGGAGAGGAGAUUGGAAUUCACGGUGUAGCAGUGAAAUGCGUAGAUAUCGUGAGGAAGACCAGUGGCGAAGGCGAAUCUCUGGACAGUUCCUGACGCUCAUGCACGAAGGCCAGGGGAGCAAACGGG
RNAcentral lists this ribosomal RNA (253 nucleotides) under uncultured bacterium. RNAcentral describes it as "partial 16S ribosomal RNA". It matches the Rfam family "Bacterial small subunit ribosomal RNA", at positions 524 to 776 of the family's 1533-position model. The record is from RNAcentral.